RNAcentral lists this ribosomal RNA (1439 nucleotides) under Stylogaster pauliani. RNAcentral's name for it is "eukaryotic LSU rRNA". It matches the Rfam family "Eukaryotic large subunit ribosomal RNA", at positions 694 to 1915 of the family's 3401-position model. The record is from RNAcentral. Lineage: Eukaryota; Metazoa; Arthropoda; Insecta; Diptera; Conopidae.
UUGGGAUUUUAUAUAACCCAAAGGCGCAAUUAACUUAACUUAAUUUAUUAUUACAAAUAAUAAUAUAAUGGGAUUAGUUUUUAGUCUUAUAUGAAUUUUGUAUAAGUCUAUUAAUUCAAUCCCGGGGCGUUCUAUAUGGUUAUGUAUAAUAAUUUAUAAUGAAUUAUAUAUACCUCUAACUGGAACGUACCUAGAGCAUACAUGCUGUGACCCGAAAGAUGGUGAACUAUACUUGAUCAGGUUGAAGUCAGGGGAAACCCUGAUGGAGGACCGAAACAGUUCUGACGUGCAAAUCGAUUGUCAGAAUUAAGUAUAGGGGCGAAAGACCAAUCGAACCAUCUAGUAGCUGGUUCCUUCCGAAGUUUCCCUCAGGAUAGCUGGUGCAUAAUGAGGAUUACAAGAUAAUCUUAUCUGGUAAAGCGAAUGAUUAGAGGCAUUAGGGUCGAAACGACCUUAACCUAUUCUCAAACUUUAAAUGGGUAAAAACUUCACCUUUCUUGAUAUGAAGGUUGAAGAUAUGAUAUAAAUGUGCCCAGUGGGCCACUUUUGGUAAGCAGAACUGGCGCUGUGGGAUGAACCAAACGUAAUGUUAUGGUGCCCAAAUUAACAACUCAUGCAGAUACCAUGAAAGGCGUUGGUUGCUUAAAACAGCAGGACGGUGUGCAUGGAAGUCGUAAUCCGCUAAGGAGUGUGUAACAACUCACCUGCCGAAGCAACUAGCCCUUAAAAUGGAUGGCGCUUAAGUUGUAUACCUAUACAUUACCGCUAAAGUAGAUGAUUUUUAUAUAUGUAUUUUCCUAAUAGAUUAUAUAAUAUGUAUAAAUUUUGAAACUUUAGUGAGUAGGAAGGUACAAUGGUGAGCUUAGAAGUGUUUGGCGUAAGCCUGCAUGGAGCCGCUAUUGGUACAGAUCUUGGUGGUAGUAGCAAAUAAUCGAAUGAGACCUUGGAGGACUGAAGUGGAGAAGGGUUUCGUGUGAACAGUGGUUGAUCACGAGUUAGUCGGUCCUAAGUUCAAGGCGAAAGCCGAAAAUUUUCAAGUUCUUAAUAUAAUAUAAUAUAUGUAUAAAAGACUUGAUUAUUUUUCGAACGAAAGGGAAUACGGUUCCAAUUCCGUAACCUGUUGAGUAUACGUUUGUUAUUAAAAAUGGACCCUGUGUUCAUCCUGGCAACAGUAACGACCAUAAAGAAGCCGUCGAGAGAUAUCGGAAGAGUUUUCUUUUCUGUUUUAUAGUCGUACUACCAUGGAAGUCUUUCGAAGAGAGAUAUGGUAGAUGGACUAGAAGAGCAUGACAUUUACUGUUGUGUCGAUAUUUUCUCCUCGGACCUUGAAAAUUUAUGGUGGGGUCACGCAAACUUCUUAACAGGCCGUACCGAUAUCCGCAGCUGUGCUCCAAGGUGAAGAGUCUCUAGUCGAUAAAAUAAUGUAGGUAAGGGAAGUC